Molecule: long non-coding RNA, 3378 nt
Filed under: Zea mays
Lineage: Eukaryota; Viridiplantae; Streptophyta; Magnoliopsida; Poales; Poaceae
Description: long non-coding RNA (ZMAY_LNC001605)
Source: RNAcentral
CGGCGUUCCUAAACCCUGAGUUCCACGAACCCUUCAUGCCAUCACAACCAUCGCCAGUGGGGUGAAAUUGGGAGAGAGGGAGAAGAGGUCGCCGCCGCACCGAUUCCUUGGAUCACCGUCGUCUGGACUACCAGAAAGGUGCGAUUGGCUAGCGCGGUGGUGCGUAGAUUGUCUGUGAGCCAACCUCUUGGCGCGGGGUCAUCGGGACUCCACUAAAUUCGUCGCCGGAAUAUCCUACGCUACUACCCCGGGCGGGCGGAUGUGGACAACCCACCUGGACACCCAUAUGGCUGGUACGUCUUCAACCAUCGUAUACCUAGCUUGCUCCGCAAUCGAUUACGAGUAUCGUGGGUUGGAAUCUUGGGCUGGUUCGCGGAAUUGUAUCUCCACGGCGGGUGUGGAAAGGGCGGCGCCGCCGCAUACAAUCGGGGGGGGGGGGGGGGGGGGGGGGGGAUUGAAGAUGAAAUCGUGUGCCGCUGAUUCCGGGAUGGACGACCGGAUUAGAUCUAAACAUUCCUCCGCGGUGCAACUCGAUCGGGACCGUUGUUCUGACCGGACGGCUCGGGGUAAGCAAAACCUCGUAAAAUCCGAACCAUUGAACUCCGAUCGAGGGUGGUGAUAACAUACCGAUUCGUACGCGUCUGAAUUUAAUCCAAACCGCAAGAUUUAGAUUGGAUGGCUCCUAAUACUCAAUACCCCUUUGUCGAGCCCGUUUUGCUAAAUAGACCCUAGGAAUAGAAGUAUUCAACCCGUCGUCCGCUGCUGUUGUUCACUGUGUCUGGGAAAUCUUCUGGAUUAGCCCCUGCACUUUUCGAGAAUUGACGCGCAGUCCAGUUAAUAAAGAAAAUAGGAAGAAGAUUUAGAAAUUGAUUUUUAAGUAUAAAAAUAAUUGCAGAACUUGUAUAAAUCGUAGAAAAUUCACAUUUAAUCAUUUUUGAUCCAUUCCAGUGGCAUUAUUUUUGUAAUAAUAUUGUAUAUCAAUUAGCUCUAUUUAAUCAUGAAAUUUGAAUUAAAAUUAUGCACUUGAAUUGUUCUAUUCCAAGUACUAAAUAACUUCAUAAAUGCAUAACUUAAUAACCGUAGAUCCGAAUUUAGUGAUUCUUAUUCCUACGAUCUCGUUACGCAACGUAGGAUAUUAUCAUGCAUUCUGUUCUGUUGUUUGGUGUGAUGUUAAUUUUGCUAUACCAUGUUUGUUUGGAUUGUUGCGAGUAGAUGAGUCGGCUACUGAGGAUCCAGGGGUUCAGCAGGUGGAGACUGCUGAGCAGGAGCUCGUUAAAGGCAAGUUAUGCCCUUAAUCACUUCUUUUUACCCAGUCAUGUUCUUAUUAAUCAUAAUGAUCUGUAUAGGUUAAUUUUGGUGGGACCCAAUAGGAUACCAUAGUUUUGGCUAUAUUUAUACCUUGUUUUACCACUGAAUUUUUUGGGUAGUACUUGGUAUUGCUUUAUGUGGUUUUGGGGAUGGAGAUAUACAUUAUUCAUUUUCACAUUUUUAUUAUCAGUGUAUUAAUUACUGUUCAUGAUAAGGUCAUUAUGUUAAUUGGAACAUGGAGAACCACGCGGGAAAACAAUGCUACCACAAGGGUGCUAUAGGACACCCUUGGCUGACUAAAUAGGAAAGCUAGUGGAGGACUACCUUACCCGAUAGGGGCAUCUUAACUUCCGUAUACAGAUAUUAUAACCAUGGUGGGCGUCAAUGUUGGUCACAUGCUUUUGAUUCUUGAAAGAUAUAAAAAACAAGGCAACACAAAUGAAAAGAUUCUCUCUUCACGCAUUUGUUAACUUUGAAAGAUUAACAAAUGAAAGGUGACAAAGGAUAAUAAUAAUAAUAGAUAAGGAAAUUCAAUCGAUAUUAACUCAUUCUUCGUUAUCCCAAAUUGUAUAUUACAAGAGUCAUUUACAUUUGUACCUUCGUUCUUACAAAACCAAAUAUGAAGGUAUGGACGAAAUAGCUUCGAAGUCUAAGCGAUAGGGUUAUCUCGUAGACGCAAAAAACACCCUUAUGUGUGGCACUGUACCCCUAUUUAUAGUGGCAAGUUACGACUUCUUAUGAAUUUAAAAAUAUGUUCACAAAUUCUAUACAUAUGAGCUACAAAUCUUGUGAGGUUAAUAUAUAUCAACUUUUCCUCUCUCGCGACGUGCCAAUCAACCUUCUAGAAUCUUCUCGUCUCCUUAUGUUUCGUGUGUUCACGCUUCAGAGACAAAGCUGAAGUCUUUUAGCUUCGUCGCUUCCUUAUAUGUUGGUGCAGACGAAGGUAGAGCCUGCUACCUGUAGAUGAUACUAGAAGCAUGUUUAACUAUUAGCAUAAUGUUUCGAGGACCUUCGGCAAUCGAGGCACCCAACAGGGUUUAUAAAGGUAUGGGUUCAAAAGAAGCUCUCAGCAUCUUUUUAUAUCUUGCUCGGUCAUUCGUCCUCCUUUAGUUAACAGGGUGGAACUAUAUAGGAGCGCGUGCGGCUUUGCGUUGUUUUGGUUUUAGAUAGUUUCUCACGGGCCAUCUAUAUAUAGGGUGGUAACGAUCAACUAAUAGAGGUUUGGAUGGCUUUGACAGCUUACCUCUUGGGUAACAGUCUAUUGGCAGGAAUAGACAACGCAGGAUGUUUGUCGAAACUAUUGUUUUAUAGUCGUUGGAUGUUUUGACAGCUUACCUCUUGGGUAACAGUCCAUUAGUAGGAAUAGACAGCGCAAGAUGUCUGUCGGAACUGUUGUUUUAUAGUUGUAAGAAAGAGAUAGACCCACUGUUCACUAUUUGUCACCUUAGCCCCUCCCCUCUCCCCCCAAAAAAACGUGCGAGUUGCUACCAGCCGUGUCAGCGAACCUACGAAUAACUGGUCUUUGCGACAAUAGUAGUGAAGAUGGAUGACAAGAAAUAGGGAAAGACCAUUGCUAAAUACAGGAGGUUUGUUUGCAAUUAACAAAUUUUAGUACGUGGUGAACUUUCUUUACGCCACUAGAACUGAGUGGGCACGUGGACAACUCGACAUCCUCUCCGUACACAGCACUGUGGAGAGGUCACGAAAGAUUGCAGGAGCUGUGAGCCGGCCGUUUUCUAAGAUGCGUACGCGUCAGAAGCUGCACCAGCACAGCCGGUUGAGGAGGACUCGAGAACUUGUUCCUUUUUUUUGUGUUCAGAAUAACGGAGUACCACGGAACGACAGGGGAUAACUUGUUCCUUUUUUUGUGUGUGUGAUCAGAAUCGUAUCUUUUGUUUCUCCCAGUAGUAAACGAUACGAAUUUUGAUUUUGGUGCGGCUUCGUUACGUUAUUACCGUACCCAUCAAACCAAAAGGAAAAAAAGAAGGGAGCUUAUUAUUUGUUGUAUUUUUAUUGAUGGUGAUCUCGAGCGGUCCAAUUGGUUCGGCAGGUCGCUCACUUUUGUCCGGU